CAUUGGUCAAGCCUCAGGCGCAGAAACCAGACAAAUGAAGAUUGUCCAGUAGGAGCUCUUCUUCCCUUAUAGCUCUGUAUUCUUCUACUCCCUCUACUUCCUCUAUACAUAAAGACUAUCUUUGCCCAUUACCUUAGUUCUUCCUUCUCAGAGACUCAGAAAGAAUAAGAGAAGACUCAGGAUCCUACCCACCGCACCACCUCCCCAAGUUCCAAACUGAGGAGGUGAGGUGAGAUCUUGUCAUCCCCUAAGAGCCCAAACUGGUCCAAGAUGGUAAGAGAAGCCCCACUGCUGCUGUUUCUGCUGUUUCUGGAGAUCUCAGGUUCCAAGAAAGCAGAAACUAUUGAGGAGUACACAAAAGAGGAGGGGCAGACAUUGAAUGUAAACUGCUCAUAUCGGCCCUGGAACCUUAAGAGGGAGUUCAACGUGUGGUGUAAACUUCAAGAGAAUGGAAAGGAUUGUAACAAAUAUGUGUCCAUAAGAAAAAACUCAGUUUUCACUAAAGAAGGCAAAUUCUUCUUUAACAUGCUUGAUGAACCUAAGUCUGGCAAAAUCAUCAUCAUAAUGUCAGGGCUUAGGGUAAAGGACUCAGGACAUUACUUGUGUGUGGUCAUAGAGCAAAAUGCUGCCACUGUCCUCAAGAAAAUUCACCUAGAAGUGACUCCAGUACAGAGUACCACCAAAGGCGUUUCAAAUACUUCUAAGGUCCAUCAGACUACUGUGACCACCUACAGGAAGAAAAGAGAUCCAGGGAAUCCCAGUCUUUCAGAAAAAGAGAAAUUCAUCAUUUUGGGUAUGGCCCUUCCCUUCCUGCUUUUAUUGGGAGUCCUCAUUAUAGGAAUUGUGUAUAUCAAGAAACUCCACCAGAAAGUCAGGAAAGGUGACAACUUCCAAUACAUGUGUGAUAACUCUGAGUACAACAUGCAGAAACCUAGGGAUCCCAGCAUGGAGAUGGACAAUGGAGAGGAUCCUAGAGAUAUUCACUAUGCCUCACUGAACUAUAUUGGCCCCAGAGAAUCAAUGCACACCAACAUACUGAAGGGCUACAACUCUAAGACUAUGCAGAUCCCUCAUGAGUCUGUGGAAUAUGCCAGUAUCUUAAGGACUGGUUUUCAGCAUCCCAAAUCAAAUGCCCCAGUGGGCAGGGAGUGUUAGUCGUUUUUUAAGAGCUUAAUAAAAAUGUUCAUUGCUAAUAUGGAAAUAUGUUU
This 1208-nucleotide long non-coding RNA is filed under the name Monodelphis domestica (gray short-tailed opossum). RNAcentral's name for it is "lncRNA (ENSMODG00000028475.2)". Lineage: Eukaryota; Metazoa; Chordata; Mammalia; Didelphimorphia; Didelphidae. The record is from RNAcentral.